RNAcentral lists this transfer RNA (81 nucleotides) under Coniochaeta pulveracea. It matches the Rfam family "tRNA". From Rfam's summary of the family: Transfer RNA (tRNA) molecules are approximately 80 nucleotides in length. Their secondary structure includes four short double-helical elements and three loops (D, anti-codon, and T loops). Further hydrogen bonds mediate the characteristic L-shaped molecular structure. tRNAs have two regions of fundamental functional importance: the anti-codon, which is responsible for specific mRNA codon recognition, and the 3' end, to which the tRNAs corresponding amino acid is attached (by aminoacyl-tRNA synthetases). tRNAs cope with the degeneracy of the genetic code in two manners: having more than one tRNA (with a specific anti-codon) for a particular amino acid; and 'wobble' base-pairing, i.e. permitting non-standard base-pairing at the 3rd anti-codon position. Lineage: Eukaryota; Fungi; Ascomycota; Sordariomycetes; Coniochaetales; Coniochaetaceae. The record is from Rfam by way of RNAcentral.
UCUCUGUUCGUAUAGUGGUUAGUAUGUGAGCUUGUCAUAUCGACAUCGCUCGAGACCGGGGUUCAAUUCCCCGACAGAGAG